UUUAAGUGCGUUAGGGAUUGAAGCAUUUGUUUGAGCUCUCCCGAUUUUUUUUAUCGGGAAGCGAGUGCGGAAAGCCCGACCCUUG
This 85-nucleotide unclassified non-coding RNA is filed under the name Algibacter luteus. Its description in RNAcentral is "Arenitalea lutea Flavo-1 RNA". The record is from RNAcentral. Lineage: Bacteria; Pseudomonadati; Bacteroidota; Flavobacteriia; Flavobacteriales; Flavobacteriaceae.